This is a long non-coding RNA of Neofelis nebulosa (Clouded leopard), 808 nucleotides long. RefSeq lists it as uncharacterized. The record is from RefSeq and is a predicted model, not a curated record. NCBI's taxonomy places the organism in Eukaryota, Metazoa, Chordata, Mammalia, Carnivora, Felidae. The transcript has 3 exons.
GAGCUGGAACCUGCCCACCAUUCUCCUGGGAAUAGACCACCUCUCCUAAGGGGCUGCCAUCUAAGUGAAAACCAAACUCUAUCAGAAACAGAUUUUUAAGAUUCUGAUUACAAGACCUCCACCUGCCAACUGAUGAAUCCUACCCUCUGGGGAAGAGGCUCUGCAAUCUCUACCUUUUAAAGGACUCCCAAGUGAUCUUGAUGCUAGAUUGCAGUGGACCCAUCUGAGCUCCAAGUCUUGCAGAACUGAGAUAAAUCCUCUGGGGAACCCCCUUGGAAAGUUGGGGAGCUAGACAUGCAAAGCAACACUGUCCCUCCUCUGGGAGAAGCUAGGAGCUUCGAGGUCUCUUUCUGAUCCUAUGGCAUUGACUCAGCUUCUCUCUUACCUCAGGCAAAUGGAAAGCAAAACCUCCCCUCUAGCAAUAACGGCUGCUCUACAAGACCUCCGGCCGGCUGAGACUGCCCAAAUCAGUUUGAGCAAAAGCCCACCUCAUGCCUGUGCAGAAGAACCAUGGAGUAACCUUUAGAAUGAUGGACAGCUACCUUUACCUCAUUAUAAUACUAGAAUCUCCACCCAAGGAGGAGCACAAGGCUCAUUUACAUAACAUACUAUGUGUGUGUAGGCAUGUUUCCAUAAGGCGCAUACAGGACUUUAUGCCUGCCUCUAUAUACGAAGACAAGGAUCUCCUUCUGAAAUAGUCAUGCUAACCCUAAAUAAAAGGAACCCAUCCACCCUUGCUUGGGGAGUCAUGGCUUUGGAGGUUAUUCCCUGUGAUCUCCUUAUUUGCUGCAAAUAAAUGUGACUUUGU